GUUGGUGAUAGACAGGGAGGCCUGGCGUGCUGCAGUCCACGGGGUCGUAAAGAGUCAGACACGACUGAGUGGCUGAACUGAACUGAUCCGGCCAGCAGGAGAAUCCUAGAUGUGACAACGGAGGUGUCUUACUCUCUAGCUUCGUGUGUCUGAUAGUCUUCUCUCUGCUGUGAGUGGCUGUUUUUUGCUGUUUUUAGCACCCUGAAGCAACAAACUGAAGAAAGGAAAGUUGCUUGUUCCUUGUCCAAUAGGGUUCUUAAUCUUUGUAUAAUAAAUAUGUAGAACACAACCACUGUGAGCAUUUAUUGAGUUCAAAGAAGGUGGAGUCAAGAGAAUGAGAAUUAAGUGGGUCUAGUAGUCUCCUGAAUGCAGACCAGAGAGCAAGUAUGUAUAUGUGCGUGUGUGUGUAGGGGGUGCGUGUGUGUGUAGGGGGUGUGUGGUGUGGCGGGGAGUAUGUGUGUGAUGGACACGGGACAAGAAGGCAGAGCAUUGAUCUUGGAUGGUAGUUCUGAGCUAAGUCUUUCCCUCUUCCCUGCAUUUUCCUUUUGCACAAAGUAGUUCUAAACCCACUGCCUGUGCCCAAAGGAGGACAUGUGGUCUAAGAGGGGCCCAGACUCUUCCAGUGCAACUGUCCACUUGAGGAAAAUCCUCACACCAGAUGAGAGUAUAACCAGCUCCAGGACAAGGAGUGGGCAAGACCUGCAGGGCCUCUUGGUGACCCUCAAGCAUCAGAGCCAUUCAAGGAUGUUGGCCUUUUUGAAUGUUCUCAGCAAGAGUAGAUGACCACACAACUCUCAAGGUAAAUAAAAAUUAGAUGAAGGUUA
Capra hircus (goat) is the source of this 824-nucleotide long non-coding RNA. RefSeq lists it as uncharacterized. The transcript has 2 exons. The record is from RefSeq and is a predicted model, not a curated record. Lineage: Eukaryota; Metazoa; Chordata; Mammalia; Artiodactyla; Bovidae.